RNAcentral lists this ribosomal RNA (428 nucleotides) under uncultured prokaryote. RNAcentral describes it as "bacterial SSU rRNA". It matches the Rfam family "Bacterial small subunit ribosomal RNA", at positions 355 to 776 of the family's 1533-position model. RNAcentral also lists the same sequence under 1 other name. The record is from RNAcentral.
UGGGGAAUCUUGCACAAUGCGCGAAAGCGUGAUGCAGCAACGCCGCGUGCGGGAAGAAGGCCUUAGGGUUGUAAACCGCUUUCAGUUGGGACGAAGCUUCGCGAGUUAAUAGCUCAUUGGAGUGACGGUACCUUCAGAAGAAGCGCCGGCUAACUACGUGCCAGCAGCCGCGGUAAUACGUAGGGCGCGAGCGUUGUCCGGAAUCAUUGGGCGUAAAGCGCGUGUAGGCGGCCGAGUAAGUCUGCUGUGAAAGUCCAGGGCUCAACCCUGGGAUGCCGCAGAUACUGCUUGGCUAGAGUACGGGAGGGGCGAGUGGAAUUCCUGGUGUAGCGGUGGAAUGCGCAGAUAUCAGGAGGAACACCUAUGGCGAAGGCAGCUCGCUGGAACGUUACUGACGCUGAGACGCGAAAGCGUGGGGAGCAAACAGG